This 623-nucleotide ribosomal RNA is filed under the name uncultured bacterium. Its description in RNAcentral is "bacterial SSU rRNA". It matches the Rfam family "Bacterial small subunit ribosomal RNA", at positions 8 to 650 of the family's 1533-position model. The record is from RNAcentral.
AGAGUUUGAUCCUGGCUCAGAACGAACGCUGGCGGCGUGGAUAAGACAUGCAAGUCGCACGGAGAAAAGAUAGUUUACUAGCUUUUCUGAGUGGCGCACGGGUGAGUAACACGUGAGCAACCUGCCUCUUAGUGGGGGAUAGCCCUGGGAAACCGGGAUUAAUACCGCAUAUCAUCGCAAGAUGAAAGCAGCAAUGCGCUAAGAGAGGGGCUCGCGGCCUAUUAGUUAGUUGGUGAGGUAACGGCUCACCAAGGCGAUGACGGGUAGCCGGUCUGAGAGGAUGUCCGGCCACACUGGAACUGAGACACGGUCCAGACACCUACGGGUGGCAGCAGUCGAGAAUCAUUCACAAUGGGGGAAACCCUGAUGGUGCGACGCCGCGUGGGGGAAGAAGGUCUUCGGAUUGUAAACCCCUGUCAUGUGGGAGCAAGCUAGCAAUAGUUGAUAGUACCACAAGAGGAAGAGACGGCUAACUCUGUGCCAGCAGCCGCGGUAAUACAGAGGUCUCAAGCGUUGUUCGGAAUCACUGGGCGUAAAGGGUACGUAGGCUGUACCAUAAGUCGGGCGUGAAAGGCAGGGGCUCAACCUCUGGAGUGCGCUUGAUACUGUGGUACUUGAGUCAU